This 485-nucleotide ribosomal RNA is filed under the name uncultured bacterium. RNAcentral describes it as "partial 16S ribosomal RNA". It matches the Rfam family "Bacterial small subunit ribosomal RNA", at positions 30 to 506 of the family's 1533-position model. The record is from RNAcentral.
AUUGAACGCUGGCGGCAUGCCUUACACAUGCAAGUCGAACGGCAGCACGGGUGCUUGCACCUGGUGGCGAGUGGCGAACGGGUGAGUAAUACAUCGGAACAUGUCCUGUAGUGGGGGAUAGCCCGGCGAAAGCCGGAUUAAUACCGCAUACGAUCUACGGAUGAAAGCGGGGGACCUUCGGGCCUCGCGCUAUAGGGUUGGCCGAUGGCUGAUUAGCUAGUUGGUGGGGUAAAGGCCUACCAAGGCGACGAUCAGUAGCUGGUCUGAGAGGACGACCAGCCACACUGGGACUGAGACACGGCCCAGACUCCUACGGGAGGCAGCAGUGGGGAAUUUUGGACAAUGGGCGAAAGCCUGAUCCAGCAAUGCCGCGUGUGUGAAGAAGGCCUUCGGGUCGUAAAGCACUUUUGUCCGGAAAGAAAUCCUUGGCCCUAAUACGGUCGGGGGAUGACGGUACCGGAAGAAUAAGCACCGGCUAACUACGU